CGGCGCCCCACGGAGCCCCGAGC
Molecule: microRNA, 23 nt
Filed under: Mus musculus (house mouse)
Lineage: Eukaryota; Metazoa; Chordata; Mammalia; Rodentia; Muridae
Description: mmu-miR-5131
Source: miRBase by way of RNAcentral